Molecule: non-coding RNA, 15525 nt
Organism: Bactrocera oleae (olive fruit fly)
Lineage: Eukaryota; Metazoa; Arthropoda; Insecta; Diptera; Tephritidae
Source: RefSeq, a predicted model, not a curated record
UGGGCUGUUUAUAUGUGUGUAUAUGCAUGACUGGUUGAUUUGGUGUGCGCGGUAUGCACGAGUAUGUAUGAACUCAUUGGCUUGCUUUGACUAGCUCGCUGGCGUGCUUUCCACCGUCAAUGCUGUCCCUGUUGCUGUUGUUGUAUUGGAGCCGACAGUGCCCGAGUUGUUGGUAGUCAUUGCUGGCUUGCGGGGCUAGGAUGCUUUUUGGCAGCGCUGUUGCUUGUUUCGUUGUUGUUGUUUUUGUUGCUUGUUAUGGCUGUUUUGUAAUACCACCGUGUUGUUGUUGUUGCUAUUGCAUUGCCAUUUAUGUUGUUGAUUACAUGUGUAUGUGUGUAUGUAUGCAUGCCUGUUUGAUUAUUAUUGCUGUUGUUGUUGCUGGUUAUGCGAGUGUUGCUUGCUGUUGCUGUUGCUGCGUUCUCCCGAUUUGGCUGGGCCUGCUCUUCGUGGCCAUGUCACAUUUAGUUUUGUUCGGUAAUUCGGCGCGUAAGCAGCAAGAAAAUUAGAAUUUUCCGUUUUACCGCAUUUUGCAGCCAAUAAUCGCCAGUCGGAGAGGAAAACCGUUUAAACAAAAUACAAAAACAAAACAAAAGCAGCAAAGCUACUUCGCUGAGAGUCGUACGUCGUUCUUUGAGUCGUGUGUGUGCGCGAUUUGUGUUUUUUUCGUUUUUUGUUUUACUACUUCGAGUGCUCUUGUUGUUGUUUAUUGCUGCCAGUUUAGCGCCCAAAUGGUGGGAGCGUAAAAUAGAUUGAAAGCGCGAGUGCGCGAAAAACUAGAAAAACACCAUAAAAAAAGUAAAAUACUAAUUAAAACAAAAUAAAAUCGUUCAAUGAUAAUACGCGAAUUUAAGUAUCAUAUGGAUAAAUUUGCGUUGCCAGCGCGAAUGCUAAAGUGAGAGAAACAUAUGUACAUACAUAAGUACAUAUCUAACGGUAAUAAUGUGUUCGCGUUUCCAAGAAACACUCGUGCAUUUUGGAUUUGCACGACGGCAAUAAUGUAAUGAUUACUCGCCGCCACUUGAAUUUGUCGCGAAACACAUUCUGGAUUUAUGGACAAUUACUUCGCAAAGUUUCUGCAAUUUCGCUGCUGGCGUAGUUCGUAAGUAAAGGUGUCGUCGUAUACGCUCAAUGAGUUGAUAAAUGAGCGGUGUCUCUACAAUAGCUCGUCGCUCAUUUCAGCGUUUGUCUGUGGCUGACGGCGAAUUCGAUUCAGUUGGCGUGCGCUGAUCAAUUGACGUUGACUUGGUAAAAUCGCUCGUAGGGCACUUAUAUAAUAUAUAUUUAUAUACAUACAUAUGUAUAUGACUACGGCGUGUCUAGUGUUGAAAGAUCAAAGAAUCUAAAUUUUGAAAAAUUUACAAAAAUUGGUACUUUUUAUGCAAGGAAAUUGCGCAAAUAGUGUUGAAAAUAUUUUAAUUAAUUACAAUAGUGUUUGAAAUAUGCGCAAAAGUGAUACUGGGUGCUACAAAAGUGUGUGUUCGGUUAAAAGAAUUAAUAACAACAACAAAAAUAAAUAAAUUCACUUACAUAUAAACAUGAAAAGUUAGUGCGGUGCCAAAUUGCGUUGCAAAUUCCGCAGCAACAGGAAUUUCCGGCGCUUCUAAGAAAACAAAAACCGUCUAAAUCGACUUCGUCAAGUGUGUGUGUGUUUGUGUUAGUGUAGGCAGUGUUGCCGCGGAAGUUGGGCGCAGAAUAUACUAAGUACAACAACAAUAAUUUUUUUUUUGUUUUCGUGUAGAAAAAACAACAAGUUUCAAAGAAAAUACAACAACAACCAAAUUAACAUUAAUAUGUUUUGCGUCCUAAAAAGUGUAAAAAACAAAGAUAAAAUUUCAUAAAAAAUACAGCAACAACAAAAAGUUUUAAUAGAAAUACAAAAACAAAAAUUAAUUGAAAGGUGUCGGAAUUGAAUCACCGCUUGCAGAAAAAUUAUACUUAAGCGUAUUCCAGCAAUAUAAUAACAACAACCACUUCCAAUUGCUUGUUUCGUGUUUUGCGUUAGUGCUUGCAUUGGUGUUAGUGUUAUAUUUUUUGUGACUCGUGUGUGUGUAUAUAUUUUGUUUGUGUGUGUGUGUGUGUGCUACAGCAACGCAAUUAACCGCCGCCAACAAGCAAGCAAUCGCCAUUAACUAACUUAGUGGUCUGAAAUAACAAUCAUCAGCAACAACAACGACAACAACAACAACAACAUUUAUAAUCAUAACAAGCAACAACAAGGCGUGGCGACAAAAACGCUGGAAUUCCAAAGUCUCUUUGACGUUUGACGACCAAUAACGCGUUGCCGUUCUAAGCGCAAGCACAGAAGAAGCAGCAUUUCUUCAGCUUUGAAAGAAAUCGCUUAACGCUCCAAACGCUAAGUCACGCAACGCUUCAACUACCUACAUACAUACAUACUGAAACAAAUAAAUAAUAAUUUUUAUUGUGCUUGCAAACAACAACAACAAUAAUGGCUUAAAUAUGGAUAUUUCAAUUAUCACCUCCUCCGUUGCGGCCGAGUUUAGUGGCGGCGUAGCUGCCAAAUCGUUUGCCGCCGCCAAAAUGAAUUUCUCCGAAGCGAGCGCUCGAUUAUCGCUGGAAGACACGCUACACCAAAAAUGACAGGAAAGCAAUGAAUAUCUGAGACUUCAAUUGCAGAAUUUGACAAAAUAUAUUAAAACAUGUAGCAGUUUUUUGCAAAUGCAAAUAAACAACAAUAAAUAAAGUAAUAAUAAAGCAGAAAUAAAUGUAGCGAAAACGCACACUAAGCAAUCAGAAGAAAAACAACAAAGAAACCAAACAUAAAUACGCACAUUUGGCAAUAAGAGGCGUAGAGGACAGUGGAGCAGAGUAUAAAAUAUAAACAAAGCAAAGACACGAUAAAGUGAAUAAAGUCGCAGCAGCGAAUAACAUUAAAUUUGCUUUUUUUUUUUGAAGAAUACUUUCAAAGAAAAAGUGGAGAGCAAGGCGCGUAGGAGAAUAAUUUAUUUUGAACAAGUGAGAAAAGAAAAGCCUUCAAAAUUAAACGCAAUAAUAAGAAGAAACCCCACAGCAAUCAUUCAUCCAGUUUGAUGAAAAACAUGGACAAAAAUGCCGGCGGCGACGGCAGCGAUGGCAAAUCGGGUGUCGGCGUCGGUCUGGGUGGUGGCGGCAGUGGUAAGGCCGGCUCUAGCGCCAGUGGGGGCGGUGGAGCCGGAGUGCACGAUCCCUCCGCAUUGUUGGAUGCCGCCUCGCUAUUCGCUUAUUGGGGCCGUGAUCCAACAAGCGCUGCCGCAGCCGCUUCCAAUCCGCUAUUUAAUUCACAAUUUAAUGCUGCCGCAGCAGCCGGCUUGGGCUUGUUGCAGAAUCCGGCUAGUGCAGCAAAUGAUCGCUAUUCGAUAGCAGCUGCAGCAGCGGCCGCCGCGUCACAUCAUCAUCAGAACACCAUGGCAGUGGCGGCCUCUCAGGCGGCCAGUUUGGCUAGCCUGCAUCCUGCAAGUUGGUGGUCCAUGGCCCAACUGGCAGCUCAAGACUAUUUCACCCGCCUGCAAGCUUCCGGCCUCUCGCCGUUCGCACAUCCCGAUGUGAUGGCUGCAUUUGGUCCAGCAGCACUGGGUCUGGGUGGAGCGGCCGGUGCCGGUGGUACAGGAGUCAACAGCGCUGGUGGUGGUGUCGGUGCUUUGGGUGCCGGUGCGGGUGGCAGUAACGUGGGCAGUGGCAGCAGUUCAUCGUCGAGCAGCAAAUCAAGUAAAUCCCGCAAAGAGAAACGUCAGCAACAGCAGCAGGCACAACAACAGCAACAACAGAAUUUAGCUGCAGCUGCAGCGGCGGCAGCAGCAGCGGCUGUAAGUGCUAAUCCGGCGGCAGCUUUGGCUAGCAUGCAUGGCUUGGUGGGCGCGGGUGGUUCGCUUAAUCCCUCCUCGAUGGGCAUGGGCGGUAGUGGCAGUACUGGCAAUACCACGGGUGUCGGUGGCAGCAGCGGCGGCAGUAGUUCGUCGUACAAAUCGAGUUCAACCAACUAUAGUAAACCAUCUGUGAGUCCGGUUUUACCACCACCACCCGGUUCGGCGUACGAUCCAGUACAGCUACAUAAAGAAUUAUUGGCAAUGCAAGUGGCAGCCGCGUCUGGUGGCUCUUCCAGUUCCUCAUCGUCGAAGAAAUCCUCAUCACAUCAUCAUACACAGUCGCACCAGAGCAGCAACAACAACAGCAGUGGUGGUGGUGGCGGUGUAAGUGGUGGUAGCAGUGGCUUAGGUAUGUCCAGUGGCGCUUCCUCGUCACUUGGCGGCAGCAGCAGCAACAACUCCAAUAAAAACUCACCCAUGAGCAGUGUCGGCAAUGCGGCCAUGCAUCACUUGAGCGCUUUGGGUGGCAAUGUGGGCGGCAGCAAUUCCACAGCGCAUCACAUAAAUGCGUUAAUGUCGCCGCAUGGUUCAUUGGGCGGCAGCAGUGGCAUGGGUAGCGUUGGCAGUAAUAUGGGUGCUAGCAGUAGUGGUGGUAGCAAUAGUUCGGCUUCGAGCAGUAAAGCAGAACGUGACAAGAAUAACGCUUCGUUAAAUGCACUCAGCUCGCUUUCACAGUUCGGCGCACUCGGCAUGAGCCCACAGCAAAGCAUGCAGGCCGCAAUGAAUGCGUUUGCCGCAUCUAAUCCAGCAGCUGCAGCUGCAGCAGCAGCAGCAGCGUCGGCGGCGGUUGGUGGUGGCAAAGGUGGCAAAGAUUACAUGCCAAGUGGUAUACUCAGUGAUCAUCAAUCCUUGCUGGGUGUACGAUUGCCGCCCGACACGGAGAUCAUCAAGUAUACAUCAUCGAUUGUGGGACCUAAAAUACCCGGCACUACUUCACGUGGACGCAAGAAAACGAUUUCAGACGAACAACAACAGCAACAACAAUUACUCGCACAACAACAGCAACUGCAACAACAGCAAUUGCAAAAACAAGAGCUGGACGCCACAAAUGCGCUCUCCUCGCUGCUCUCCAUACCAGGUCUGAGUCCGGCUAAGCGAGCUCGCCUCGAAAUGGAGUAUGCAGCAAUGGCGGCAGCGGUGAAUGUAGCUCAACAGCAACAACACCAGCAGCAGCAGCAACAGCAACAACAGGCCCAGCAACAAGCACAGCAGCAACAACAACAGGCGCAACAACAAGCACAGCAGCAGCAACAACAGGCGCAGCAGCAGCAACAAGCACAACAACAAUUGCAACAACAGCACCAGCAUGCAUUAAAUGUAGCCGCAGCAAGCGGUUUUGGUGGCAUCGGUGUCGGUGGCACAAAUGCCACCACCGCAGCACAAGCAGCAGCAGCGGCGGCGGCUGCGGCAGCUGCGCUUGGACAAUUGAGUGGUCCGGCCGCAGCGGCAGCCUUAAGCGCCAGUGGACUUGGUAUGGGUGCACCGAUGGGCUUGCCCGGACUCGGCGGUUUGGGUGCUUUGAGUGGCGUUGGCGGUUUAGGCAACCCAUCCGGACGUUUGGAUGCGCACGCACUUGGCGCAACCACGCUAAGUGCCACGCCUAGCAAUAGUCGUGACUCAUCAACGGACCGUGUCGAAGUGAUAAAACUACCGCCAACAAUAACCUCGAACGGCGCCUACAAUCUAUCGAAUAAAAACAAAGACUUACUUGAUUUGACGGGAGACAAUAGUAGCGGUGCUGGUGUAAAUCUCAGCAUGAAAUCAUCCACCUCCACCGCUACGACCAAUGCCACAACAGCCGCCUCAGCGCUCAUCGGUACCGCGGCCAAUCCCAUAAUGAUCGAGGACUACGAUGCGCCAUUGAAUUUAUCAAUGAAACCGGCUGAUAAACAGAGUUCCUCCGCCUGCAUGUCAUCCUCAAUGGUGGGCGGCAGUAGCGACUACAGCAGUCCGGUGAAUAUGGGCGGUACCGUGGCAGUGCCUACGGGCAGCGGUGGUUCGAAUAGUUUGCAAAGCUUGACGUCGAUAACAGCAGCGCUGGGCGGUGGCAGUAGCACACCGCUGCCAGGUAGUGGCGCCAGCAGCAGUGGUGGCAAUGCGGGCAGUAGUGGUUCGGCCGGUUCCAGCAGCGGCGGUGGCGGUAGUGGUGGUGAACGUUCAGGGCAAACGCCUUUUAAGGAGGGGCGGCCACGCAAUCUCGGACGCGGCGUGUCGAAGCCGAAGAAAAACACCGUCGCUUCAUUGUUGGCACAGUCACGUGCAGUGGGCAUAAAACCAAUGCUAGCUACACAGCAGUUGCUGCAGCAAGGCGCUGAUUUGGAGAAAAUCCGACAGGCGUUAAAUGAAGCGAAUGCACAACUGGAUCUCUCGACCGAUUCCGAAAGCGUUGCCGCCGAAAGUGGGCUCUCUGAGUCGGAGAGCGAAGAUGCCAACAUUCUGAAUGUAACCGAACUACGUGUGCCACUCGACUUGGGCUGGAAGCGUGAGACGGUCAUACGUGGCCUAACGAAGGCGGGUCAAAUACGCGGCGAAGUCGUUUACUAUGCGCCCGGUGGUACAGUGCCGCUAAAGAACAUUGGUCAAGUGAUCUCUCAUUUGGAGAAGAAUCCAUCGAAGCUGACGCGUGACAAUUUCAGCUUUUCAUCGCGUGCUAUAGUCGGUUCAUUUCUACAGCCCGCACCACCGCCAUACGCCAACGACGGCGAGUACAUACGCAUGACCGACGAAGAUGUUGCUAAGCGUUUGGAGGAUUUGAAAAUUUUCACGCGCCAAACCUUGAAUGUGGAGCAACGCAUCGAAAUUGCUAAGCAACAGCAGGCCAUACGCGAUGCGAAGAAACAGCAAAAGGAGGAAAUGGCGCGCAACAAGGAAAAAGCACGGCAGGAAAAAAACGAGAAGCUUGAGCAGCAACGUAAAGAAAAGGAGUUAAAAAACCAGCAAAUGAUUGAGGCGCGCAAGAAGCGUCAAGAAGAACUAGAACGCAUCAAGCAAGAGGAGCUGCUCAAGAAACAACAGGAAAAAGAAAAGAAACGUCAAGAAGCUAUUUUAGCUAAAGAACAGGAACUCCAAAAACAAAAGGAAGCAUUACUUGCCGCCGAGAUGGAACGCGAACGCCGUCGUCAACAUAUGGCACUUGUGCGCCAGCUGGAGGCGCGCCGCAAGUUUGUCGAGCGUGAGAAGAAGAAGCAUCAAAUGAUUUUAGACCGUCUGAUAUUGCGUGAGAAGCGUAUGGCUAUACGAAAGCGUGAUUCUGAAAUUUUAGCACAAAUAAGAAAACCAAACGAGGACUCUGAAGUUGCACAUCCACACGAGUUACCCGAGCUGGAACGCAUCGGUGGAAAUCGUUUACCUGGUCAAGCUAUGGCCGAUCUACUAAUGGUAUUCGAAUUCUUGCAUAACUUUGGUGAAACCUUAGGAUUCGACAUGGAGUCACUGCCUAGCUUGCAAAACCUGCACGACGCACUGAUUAGUGACAGCAAUCCCGACGCUGAGGAGGAGCUGCUAUCUGUGAUGACUCAUCUGCUGGUGUGCGCCAUCGAAGACCCCGGUAUACCGAAUCCGGGUCGACACACCACACUGCUCGGACAAUCGUUGCGUAACGCCGACAUUACCAAUUCGAAUGUUUCGGAGAUACUACGCAUUUAUCUGUAUGCCACCGCUACUGGUGAGAUACGUCAACUGCACGGCAUAACCAUGGAUCGUGAGCGCGAGCGUCGCAUACCCGAUCAUCAUCAGGUGGACGCCGAAACCGCUUCGCAUUCAGGCAAAAAUGCCGAAUACUACAAAUUAUUACAUGAAAAUGAAACUUGGAAAUUAUCACAUUCGCUCAAGAAUCGUCCGUUUGUCGCAUUGAAUCCCACACGCAAAGCACAAAUACUCGCCCAUCUCUGCAAUGACCUGCUAAUGAACAAGGCGGUGCUGAAGCAGAUCGAUGGCAGCCUAGAGACAUGCGCACAAAUGCGCAAAGAGAAGUACAUGACCGACAUGAAGGUGCGCAAAUAUAAGGCGCUGCAUCAACGCAAGGCGCGCAUUGAGGCGUACGAGAAGGCGCAGGCCGAACGCGAGGCGGCAAUGCAAGCAGCCAUUGCCGCGCAGCAGAAAGCCGAUGCCGAGCGUAUGCAGAAGGAGGCGGAGGCCGCAGCGGCAGCCGCUGAAGCUGCAGCGAAUGCCGUCGCGGCAGCGACCACUAAUGCUACGACAGAGAAGCAGAGUGAAGAGAAGGAUGACGACAGUGGCAGCGGCGCAGUAGUUGAUGGCGCUAACGGCGGCGAAACGCUUGUCAGCAGUAACACUAAUAAUGUCUCACCCGCUGGCGCGGAACAUAAUAAUAACAACAGCAGCGGCGUCACCAAUAAUGGUGAGCAUCACAACAAGGAUGAUAAUGAUAUAGCAACGGCACAUGUCGAGAAAAUGGACGUUGACGGCGAUGUGUCCAUCAUUAAUAAUUGCGAUGAAUCAAACACCAUGAAAGCCGAAAAAGAGAAUCAGUCACUACCUUUGUGCGCCGACGCAAGCGCUGCAACAAUUGUUGGCGUGAAUAAUCUGGCAGAUCCAACGCUGCCACAUGCGUUGCCGACGCCAACGUUACCCAACGUCUUCGACGGUCUAAAGUACGAUGUGAGCCCCACAAAAGGCUACAACAGCGAUAACGCGGUGACGCCCAGCAAGCAACCCAAGUUAGAUGAGUCCAUCGUUGGUGUGCCAGCCUAUCAGAAUGGCAUCGCCAGCAUGCCAACCGGUUUGUCCGGCGUUUGCGCUACAACAGCAAUGGCACACGCAGCAACGCCGUCUGAUUUGACUAAUCUGUUGCCAAAAAAGACGGGCAACGAUGAGCAGACAAUGCCGACCGAUGUGGGCUUGGACGAUGAUCUCAGCGACUUGGAAUCGGAGAUUACAAAUGUAGAGGAAGACGAGGACAAUCGUUUGAGCGCGGAUGAGCUACAGAAAAAGCUCGAUAAGAUAUUACGCGCGUCCAUGAAUUGCAAAGAGUUGCUGGAGAAGAGCACGAAUCAGCUGCGCGCCACAUGUUUUGGACAAGAUCGUUUCUGGCGACGCUAUUGGAAGUUGCCGAAAGCAGGCGGUAUUUUCAUCGAAGCAUUGGAAUCUGCACAGAAUGAUAUAUUCCACUAUCAGGAAAUUUUGGAGUUGGAAGCGGAAGAGGCGCGUGCCGCUAAACUGUUGAAUGGCGAAAGUGAGGCUAAACAGGAAUGCAAAGAGGAGGACGGCGAAGAGGCUGAUGAGGAGGGUGCAGAUACAGAGAAUGCUGACGAAGGCGCUGAGGUCGAUUGCAACAAGGAGAGUGGGAACAUAUGUAAAACUGAUGACGAUGCAGGCAAAUGUGUGGAGAGCACAGCUACAACUUUACCUGUGAAGGAGACAGAUGAAAAAAUGCAAAUCGAUGACAUAGCCGACGUGACCACAACUGUGACCAAUCCAACUGUCAUAAACACCAGCAACAACACCAAUGGCGAUGUCUGCAACAUGACGCCAGCUGCAGUGAUAGACGAUGACGACGACGACGUCGUGCUAACUAGCAAAGACGAACCGGAGAUUGUAGAUUUGCGCGAUGAUGAUGACGACGAUGAUGACGUCGUGCAUACCGCCACAAUACCGGCGCCGAAGCGCAUGGACAUCGAUGUGGACAACUAUGGCUUGAGUAAAAAGCCACAUGUCGACGCAGCCACCAUCUCCACCAAGACCGACUUCGAGGCCGAGAUCAAAAUACCAGCCAUACCAGCGCAAUUCAAUGCAGCAAUUGCCGCCGCUGCUGCUGCUGCCGCAGCCGCUGCAGCUGCAGCCAAUGCCAACGCCACGGCGGCAAAUGUUAUCGGCGAAAAAAACUGUGAUAAAAAUGAGUUUGCAAUGUUGUCGCCGUCAGCGUCUGGCUCAGCGUCGCCGAUGACGAUGCCAACACCGACAUCAACACCUAUGCCGAUGCCAAUGCCAUUACCGAUGUCGCUGCCAGCAGUAACGGGAUUACCAGGCAACGCCAACAACACAAUCGUCAGCUGCAGCAACAGCAACAUUAUCAACUCUAUGAUGACCAGCGUUCCAGGCAAUGCUGCUGGUAGCAUUGGCGUCACGGAUGUGAGCAGCACAACAGCAGCCAUUAUCGAUAGCGUUGUGAAGGCCGAGGACUUAAAGAAGGAGGAUGACUGCAUUAUCGUGUCGGCCACGAGCGCCGAUGACGCCCUCUUCAAACAGCCGGUAAAUGUCUCAGAUAAGUGGUUUUCGAUACUCGAUCGCGAAUUGCCAUUGAUGUCGACCGAGCCGAUGGAUGAAGCCAGCCUCAAAGAGUACAAGAUGUCUAUCGCAAAUAUCUCAUGCGACUCUCUCUUCCAGACACAGGGCCAUCCGUGGGAGGUGCAGAAUGUCGUGCCGUUCUUCAACGUAACACUGGACGAAUGCAAAGUGGAUCCAACAAAAUUCGUGCAGGAAUGCAUACUAUCGCUUUCCGGUAUAGACGAGAAACAAAUGGAGACGAAGUUACGUGAAUAUGAGCAGAAAAUGCUUAUAGCAGCAAACGCGGCCGCCGAAGGCACCGAUGCAGAUACAGUGUUGGCAUCACCGGCGGACUCAAAAAACUGCCUAGAGUCUCCUCGUCAGCGAUUGAAGAGUGAGGAUGCCGCGGAGAGCGGUGAUGAGGAGGAAGAGGAUGAGCAAAAGUACGAAAGCGACUGCAAACCAUCCACAUCAGCAGCAGCUGCUGCGAAAUCAACAACAACGCCAGCCAUCAAAACAGACGCCGUGAAAAGUGAGGAGCAUGAAGAGGAACGCGCGGAAGAGAAGAAGUUUCUUCCAUAUUUGAAUGAUACAAAAGCCGAGAGCGGUGUUGAGUGUAAGCCGAACAAAGAAACCAACGAUGCUGCCAACGGUGAAGCCAAAGAGCACGACUUCAACACGGUCAGACUGGAAAUACGCAUGGACGACAUCGCCGGCAUGUCUAUACAGAAUUUAGCCAAUAUGUCACUGCAAAAUCUCACCACAUUCCUGCAAUACGACGUGCAAACGCCGCUUUCAAUGACACCGGAAGAGCAAAAGCUAUUAGAGGAAGUAAAAAAAGAAGGUUUUCCCAAAAAAUUGGUCGGUGCAUAUGUACCACGUGAUCUACGCUACGGCUGGUGGAAGAUCGACACUUUCGAAAUGUUGCAACGCGUCAUCGAUUCGCUCGAUCCGAGCGGUUUACGCGAACGCGACCUACAAGAGAAUCUCUUGCGUUUCAUGCAACAAGAAGAUCCGCCCACCAUCGGCAUCAAAUAUCCACUUGCAAGCAAACCCGGCGAAGAUGUGCCAUACAUGCAACCGGACAAACGACACGAUUGGAAUCCAAAGAUUGCCAAACGCACCGAACUCGCGCUGCUCGAUCAACUCGAAGCUUUGGAGGACAAAAUCGCCAGCGCCUCUAUGCAACUGAAGAAUUGGCAGCUACCGCCGCGCAUUGAAAACGAAAUCAAUCUAGAACUGGAAGAUAUCACCGAAGAAGAUUUCAUCAGCAUCAUACCAAUGAUACGUGAACGCAUCAUCGAUCUGGAGGCGAACAUUGAGCGUCGCUACUUGAAACCGCCGCUCGGCUCGCAAACAGGUGACGCGCAUUUGGCGGUCAUCGCACAAAAUCAGCACACCACCACACAGACACAGAACUCUGCUGCUGCUGCGGCGUUUCUCCUGCAAAUGCAACAACAACAAGCUGCUGCUGCCCAACAACAACUGAUCAAUAUGCAAACGCAACAAACACAGAAUGUCAUCAACGCUUCGGCCUUCAAUGAGCGCGCCAUGGCCAUAGCGGCUGCAAAUGCUGCCGCAGCCGCUGCUGCCGCUGGCAAUGCGAGCGGCGAUGCUGCGGGCGGUCACACAGCCAAUACGAGCGGCAACAAUUCGGGCGGCGACUCGCCGGCGAGCAAUUGUGAUAGUGAGAAGGACGAGAAGGUGGAGAAUAUACCCAAAGGCUUGGCUUCGUGGCGCGAUGCGGUCGCGCGUUCGCACACCACAGCGCAGCUGGCGAUGGCGCUCUACGUGCUGGAGUCGUGUGUCGCCUGGGACAAGAGCAUAAUGAAAGCGACCAAAGCUAAAGCGAACAAGUCGACAAAAGAUAAAAAAUCCAAAAGUAGCAAAAAUGAACCGCCUCCAAAAGCCAAAUCCACAAAAAAGAAGCAAGACAAAGCGCCUGCGCAGCCCACACCGCGUUCCACACCAACCAGCGUACUAACCAAAGCGGCAAAGAAAGGCGCUAACCAAGACAAGACGCCAGCAAGCGCAAAACGCGCCGAAACGUACAGCAAGCGAAAGCGUGAAAGUCCCGCGCCACAAGCGAUGAACUCCAACGCGUCAAAAGCAAGCAAAAAAGCAAAGACGCAAACUACAACAGCAGCGGCAGCGCAAUCACCAAAGACGCAAACUACACCGUCCUCACGUUUCAGGUAUCAACGCAAAGCCAAGACACCCACCACUGGCUAUGUGAUCAGCUACGUCGAGCCACCAAGUCCGUUCAGCGAGGACACACCGGUGGAGGAGGAGUCUAGCAACAGCAGCGCAAGUGUGCAUGAGGCGCCAGCAAACGUGACAAGUGAGGAGCCGGAGCGCACCAAAACAAAAGUUAACGACGACGCGCGGCAGCCGAGCACGCCGAAGUCACAUAAGCGCGCCAAAUCGCACAAGCAUAAGAAGCGCAAGAAGAAGAAGCAUGAACUGGGCUCACAAAGUGAAGAGGAAGCCGACGUGACGUUGAGUGGUUCACCGGCGAAGGCAUCGCGUAUGAACGGCGUAGUGAUCGCUACGAGUUGCGUCGAGAACGGCGGCGGCAGUUUGAAUGGCGCCGAGUCCACCGGUGGCGCUAAUCAGCAUGGCAAUGUCAAUGGCGCUAAGCCGCCGCUAACCACGACAAUCAAGUUCAAUGUGAAAGCGCAAAAUGAGAAUAAUGCGAAGAAGACGAGAAGCUCUAGCAACAAAAAGCACAAGCGGCGCAGAUAAGACUGAGCUCAAGGCGCAAAGGGCGCGAAAGGCGGCGCAAUCAAAUUUCUAAAUUGCAAAUAAAAGCACAAAUAAAAAAAGUACAAAAACAACUAAAAAACAAACAAAGGAAUUGAACCAAAAAAUUACUCGGGGCUUUUAGCUAUACACUUUCGAAAAUACUCGGUUUAUUUUAAAGUAAAACACUUUCAUUAUGAAAUCUAACAGUAACAACAACAGCAACAACUGUAGUAAAGAAUAGCGUUAAGGCAAAUGGUAUUCACAAUAAUAUAAAACAACAAAUAUAGCGUUUAAAAGCAAAGCAAAACAAAACAAACAAAAACAACAAUUUAGGUAACUGCCACUUGCUCAAGUGUGUCUGUCUGUAUGUAUGUAUGUGUGUGUACACUUGCAACUGUGCAACUACAACAACAUAACAAACAGCAUAUAACAACAAUUUGAUCUUCUUCUUCUUCCACCACGCAUCUUCCAUCUUCUACGCACGCUCUUCCAUAUUAUUACAGUAUUGCCAGUUUUGCACAUCUGGCGAGAACGAGGAUAAAUUACUGUUAUGCGACGGUUGCGACAAAGGCUAUCACACCUACUGCUUCAAACCGAAAAUGGACAAUAUACCCGACGGUGAUUGGUAUUGCUAUGAGUGCGUCAAUAAGGCGACGAACGAACGCAAAUGUAUCGUCUGCGGUGGCUUGCGGCCUUCACCUGUUGGCAAAAUGAUCUAUUGCGAUUUGUGUCCGCGCGCCUAUCAUGCCGACUGCUACAUACCGCCGCUGUUGAAAGUGCCACGCGGCAAGUGGUACUGUCACGGUUGCAUCACGAAGGCGCCGCCGCCGAAGAAGCGUACGAGCAGUAAACCGCGACGUGAUCGUGACUCCUCGAAGCGACGCGAUCGUCAUAGCAAUUCAUCGACGUCAUCGAAUAUAGACAUACAACAACAACAGCAACAACAUCAACAUCAGCAACAACAUCACCAACAUCAACCACAACAUCAGCAACAGCAACACCAAUUACAGCUACAACAACAGGCUGCGGUUCUAGCGCAGGCGCAGGCCAUGGCAGCUGCCUCGGCGGAACACCACCUGCACAAUUCAUCACAGCUAUCGCUGAAUUCGUCGCAUGACGAAUCGAUGACCUCGUUACCAACGCCGCUCAGUCCGGCGCAUUCGAUUGCUUCCACCUCAUUCGAUGAACAGCAGCACAAUAACUCGAUUGACGCGACGCGUUUUCAGCAUCAACAUCAGCAACAGCAACAACAACAAAUGGUUGGUGGUAAUGCUGCCGCUUUGGCAGUGGGUAUGCAUGUUGGCGCUGGUGUAGGUAUAGGCGCACCAACAACAAUGUUGCCAGAUGUUAGUGGCGCAACGCCGCUAGUGCACAACCACCUACUCGGUGCUCAUUUGACGAACAACGAGUACGCGACAACAGAUGGCUGCAUAGAUGGCGCUCCGGCAGCAGCAACUGCUAUGUUAAAUCCCAUGACUGGCAGCGUCCUCCCGCUCGCGCCGCCUAUUUUCAAUAGCGCGGCACCAAGCGGUUAUGCAGCACCACCAUCAUCACAGCUGCCGCAAACUCCACACGCACCACUAUCAGCCAGUGGCGCGUUGCUACCACACGUAACGCCAUCCAACCUGCCAACAGUAAGUAGCGCGGCUGGUGGCGCGCCUACAGUGCCCGUCAACUAUAUGGCGCUGACAGCCAGUCAGCAGCAGCACUUCGCACAGCUGCAAAUGAACAGUAAUGGUGGCGUGCAGUUGCCACCGCCAUCGUCACCAUACAAUGCAGCCGCGCAAUCGCCGCUUCCGCCGCCCACAUUACUGCCGCCCACCAGCGUUCUCAGCACAUCGCCACAACCAGCCACAACACUACCGCUCAUUAUGCCGCCAACUGGCAUGGUUCAACAACAACAACAACAGCCGCAAUUGUCGCCGCUGCUACAAUCAUCGAUUUUGUCGCCACAACACAGCAGCAAUCAUGCGACGUCCACCAACAUGCACUCGCCGCGUGCCAGCACGCCAACACAACACUCACCGCAAACGGUUGGACACCACUCGCAGUCACAAUCGCCGGCCGCUCAUCAGUUUGGCGGCCUUUCGCCAAUGAGCCAAUGCGGUACACCACAACCACCACCGCCGCCUCCGCUAAAUAUACACGCGGUGCAGGAGGCGAAAGAUAAGCUGAAGCAGGAGAAGAAGGAGAAGCACGCAACCAAGAAGCUGAUGAAGGAGUUGGCCAUAUGCAAAACAUUGCUUGGCGAAAUGGAGUUACACGAAGAUUCGUGGCCAUUUUUGCUGCCAGUGAAUACCAAACAAUUUCCGACCUAUCGUAAGAUAAUUAAAAAUCCCAUGGACUUGUCCACAAUCAAGAAACGCUUACAGGACUUGACCUAUAAAAGUCGCGAAGACUUCUGCGUCGACGUCCGUCAAAUUUUUGACAACUGUGAAAUGUUCAAUGAGGAUGACUCGCCGGUCGGUAAGGCGGGUCACGGCAUGCGCAAAUUUUUCGAACUGCGCUGGGCUGAGUUGACCGACAAGCACUCAUGAUAUCAAAUGCAUCACCACCUCAAGUAUUCUAGUGAUUAAGUGAACACAAAGCUGAAGAAGAGAGAAGCAAAAAUUAAAUCUAAAUUCAAAAAAUUAUGCGGAGCAGUGAAAAUAGAAGAGAGUAAAUGUUAGUAGAAGGCAGAAAAAAAUCAUAUGAAAAA